CAGCAGCCGCGGUAAUACGAAGGGUGCAAGCGUUACUCGGAAUUACUGGGCGUAAAGCGUGCGUAGGUGGUGGUUUAAGUCCGUUGUGAAAGCCCUGGGCUCAACCUGGGAAUUGCAGUGGAUACUGGGUCACUAGAGUGUGGUAGAGGAUGGUGGAAUUCCCGGUGUAGCGGUGAAAUGCGUAGAGAUCGGGAGGAACAUCAGUGGCGAAGGCGGCCAUCUGGGACAACACUGACGCUGAGGCACGAAAGCAUGGGGAGCAAACAGGAUUAGAUACCCCGGUAGUCCCUGUCUCUUAUAC
RNAcentral lists this ribosomal RNA (301 nucleotides) under uncultured bacterium. RNAcentral's name for it is "partial 16S ribosomal RNA". It matches the Rfam family "Bacterial small subunit ribosomal RNA", at positions 509 to 807 of the family's 1533-position model. The record is from RNAcentral.